Molecule: transfer RNA, 75 nt
Filed under: Patescibacteria group bacterium
Lineage: Bacteria
Also listed under: 1 other name
Description: tRNA-Ile
Rfam family: tRNA
About the family: Transfer RNA (tRNA) molecules are approximately 80 nucleotides in length. Their secondary structure includes four short double-helical elements and three loops (D, anti-codon, and T loops).
Source: RNAcentral
GGGCGCGUAGCUCAGCCUGGUUAGAGCGCGUCUCUGAUAAAGACGAGGUCCCUGGUCCGAAUCCAGGCGCGCCCA